UACGAGGGGGGCGAGCGUUGUUCGGAAUUAUUGGGCGUAAAGGGUGCGUAGGCGGUUUGGUAAGUCUCUUGUGAAAUCUAUGGGCUCAACUCAUAGUCUGCAAGGGAAACUGCCGGGCUUGAGUGUGGGAGAGGUGAGUGGAAUUUCCGGUGUAGCGGUGAAAUGCGUAGAUAUCGGGAGGAACACCAGUGGCGAAGGCGGCGACCUGGACGGACACUGACGCUGAGACGCGAAAGCGUGGGGAGCAAACAGG
RNAcentral lists this ribosomal RNA (253 nucleotides) under uncultured bacterium. RNAcentral's name for it is "partial 16S ribosomal RNA". It matches the Rfam family "Bacterial small subunit ribosomal RNA", at positions 524 to 776 of the family's 1533-position model. The record is from RNAcentral.